GUAGGUGGCAAGCGUUGUCCGGAAUUAUGGGCGUAAAGCGCGCGCAGGCGGGUCCUUUAAGUCUGAUGUGAAAGCCCACGGGCUCAACCGUGGAGGGUCAUUGGAAACUGGGGGACUUGAGUACAGAAGAGGAAAGCGGAAUUCCAAGUGUGGCGGUGAAAUGCGUAGAGAUUUGGAGGAACACCAGUGGCGAAGGCGGCUUUCUGGUCUGUAACUGACGCUGAGGCGCGAAAGCGUGGGGAGCAAACAGGAUUAGAUACCCUGGUAGUCCACGCCGUAAACGAUGAGUGCUAAGUGUUAGGGGGUUUCCGCCCCUUAGUGCUGCAGCUAACGCAUUAAGCACUCCGCCUGGGGAGUACGGCCGCAAAGGCUG
RNAcentral lists this ribosomal RNA (373 nucleotides) under uncultured organism. Its description in RNAcentral is "partial 16S ribosomal RNA". It matches the Rfam family "Bacterial small subunit ribosomal RNA", at positions 527 to 896 of the family's 1533-position model. The record is from RNAcentral.